RNAcentral lists this ribosomal RNA (240 nucleotides) under Escherichia coli. RNAcentral describes it as "partial 23S ribosomal RNA". It matches the Rfam family "Bacterial large subunit ribosomal RNA", at positions 2080 to 2319 of the family's 2925-position model. Lineage: Bacteria; Pseudomonadati; Pseudomonadota; Gammaproteobacteria; Enterobacterales; Enterobacteriaceae. The record is from RNAcentral.
ACGGAAAGACCCCGUGAACCUUUACUAUAGCUUGACACUGAACAUUGAGCCUUGAUGUGUAGGAUAGGUGGGAGGCUUUGAAGUGUGGACGCCAGUCUGCAUGGAGCCGACCUUGAAAUACCACCCUUUAAUGUUUGAUGUUCUAACGUUGACCCCUAAUCGGGGUUGCGGACAGUGUCUGGUGGGUAGUUUGACUGGGGCGGUCUCCUCCUAAAGAGUAACGGAGGAGCACGAAGGUUG